This is an RNA transcript of Columba livia (rock pigeon), 3518 nucleotides long. RefSeq lists it as uncharacterized. The transcript has 3 exons. Lineage: Eukaryota; Metazoa; Chordata; Aves; Columbiformes; Columbidae. The record is from RefSeq and is a predicted model, not a curated record.
UCUGAACGACAUUGCUUACCAUAAUAUUGCCUUUUUGUCAUAUUAUGCUGUUUAGCAAAAGACCAAACUGGGACCCAUCAGUUUUAAUAACAAUGCAUUUGAGAAGAUGAAUUAAGUCUCAAAUAGAAAAGGUAGGUGAACUUGUCCAGACUGUGGGUGGUGCAGUAAUUAAAAGUCAGUGGAACUGCAAUGUCUCAGAGCUCAUUAGACAAAACAGUAUGUGGAAAAUGUCUCGUCAUGUCUAAUUGCUACAGCUGCUUGGAUUUCUCUGCUAUAGCUGGACAUCAGCUAUUCAUAAACCAGCAGGAGAAAUUAUUCUGUAGAAAGAUGCACUUCCUGCAUUACAUACACCCUUCUUUGCGAUCAAUGCCUCUAGUCUUUGACUAAAAGUUGUAAAUUAACUAAGAGAUAUGGCAAACAUAACAGUAGAAAAUCUAUAUCUAGUGAUAGUGUUAGAAUUAUUGAGUUGAGCCAACAACAUUACUUAGGAGCAUAAUGCUGUCUGAGUGGGAUUAUAUUGUGAUGUCUAUCAAGAUAAUUUUUACAUAUACAUUACUAAGCAGUUCCAGAUGUGGAAUCUCAGCUAGAGCUACUGGUGCUGGAGCCCUCCUGUUUCAUCUCAUGAGCUCACCAUUUCCUGUUGCCUCUCAGGAAAAUUACAUGCAAGCGGAAAGCACUUUUAAUUGAAGGAAAGAUGGAGGGCAGUGUUGAAGAAAAUAAGAUGGCCGAGUGCUAUGAGGCAGAAGCACUUGCUUUUUAGACGAACACCAGUAUACUGUUGAAGAGGAAGAAGAAGAGGAAGAAGAGGAAGAAGAGAAGGAGAAGGAGAAGGAGAAGGAGAAGGAGAAGGAGAAGGAGAAGGAGAAGGAGAAGGAGAAGGAGAAGGAGAAGGAGAAGGAGAAGGAGAAGGAGAAGGAGAAGGAGAAGGAGAAGGAGAAGAAAAAAAGGAAGAAGAAAAAGAGGAAGAAGAAGGAGAAGAAGGAGAAGAAGAAGGAAAAGGAGAAGAAGGAGAAGAAGGAGAAAAAAAAAGGAGAAGGAAAAAAGGAGAAGAAGAAGAACAACAACAGCAAAAACACCACCAACAACUCUGGAAAUAAUGGCCUCCCUAAUUUUAUAUAUAGCACACUGUUUCAGCACACUCUAUCAGUGUAUAAUAAUAAUAGUAAUCUAACAAUAUCCUUCAACUUAAAUAAGGCCCUAGUUACUCUCUAGUUACUAGUUACUCUCAUAAUAUAUGCAUGAGAAAGCAAUGUCCUUGUAAAUUGGGUUGAUUUGGAUUUGGAAAACAAUGGGAUAUUCUUCUUCAGAUGCCCAUGUAAUGUAUAUUAUUCAUUUUCCCAGAGUAUGAAGAUUUAUAAUCUCCCAAUUAUCUUGUAUUAGUGCCAGUAAUUAUUUUGUAAAUUACAUGUCUCCUACUGAGAAUGAAGACAUUAUAGAAUCUGUGCAGCAUUAUAAUUCACCAUGUUUCUGAAUAAUUUUUCUAAACUAUUCUUAAAUGUAAAUCCAAAUGUGGAAAUAAGAUUUAUAUACAAAUUAUAAAUGUUAAAAUGGUUUCUGGUUGUAAUCUUUCAAAUACUCCACCCGAACUAAAUCAGUAUUUUCUUAACUAUGUCUAGUAUUUAGUCUCCAUAUACUCUUAAACAGUUUAACAUUGUCAGAGAAAUAUUUUAUUUUCCUUUCAUAACUUGGCUAGAUAGUCAAAUUCUUAGCCAAGAAUGAUACAAAGAACCUCCAGCUGUUUCUGUCCAAUUUGACAUUCUUUAAUUCAUUGCAUUUUAAGGAUACUGAUUAUCACCCCUCUGUUUUUCAUUAGCCCCCAACCUAGAUGGUUCAAACAUGAAUAUAUUGAUGCAGAGCAGUGACACAUCUCUGCAGUGGGAGAAUGGAAAACCAAAUUUCCUGCCCUCACCCAGCAGGAGUACUUCAGCAGUCAGCACUGUGUAUAUUGUAAUGAUAUGCCUCAAUAAACAAGUCCAGUUUUCAAAGCUCGCCCACAUACGUGGCUCUUCAGCUGCCUGAUUGAUUCAAGGGGAAUCUUUCUCUUUGCUUUUGCUCAAACUGAUCAGGGUUUUCACUCUUACAUAACGAAGCAGAGUGUAAACAUAGAAGUUGUUUAUCUUGCCACUUGGAAUGAUCUGGAGCCCCUCUCCUCCUUCACUUGACAUUCUGGUUAUCACAGAAGUAAAAACAACAAUACCAUAUUAGGUUAAAGGUCAAUCUAGCUUAGUUCCUGAUGAUACCUGACAUCAGAUAUCUGGGGAAGACUGAAAGGAUUCAGCAAGACUGUGGGUAUAUUUUCUCAGGAAUCUUUCUGCCUACAGCAAUAUGAAAGUCAGGAUUUUUUCCUGAGACAGAAAGUCCAUCUCUUCAUUUAAUGUCCUUGUUAGAGAUUACUUUUUUAUUUUCUUCCAGUAAUUUUUUGAAGUGAUGUAGACUUAAUAUCCACAACACUGUGGAGCAGGAGGCUUUAUGUCAUAAUGCCAUGUUGUAUGAAAAACUACUUCAUUUUAUUUAUUUUUAUAACCUUCAUUAAAUAUUUUUUUUUGUAUAUGAGUGAAUGAGGAAUAAUUACUUGUUCAAUAAGCCCAGUUCACUUAACCUCUCUUCACACAUCAUGUGCUCCAGUCUCCAGCCAUGUUGGCAGAUCUUCACUUUUUCGUUUAUCAAUGUCUUUUUUGCACCUGGAGGCCCCAAACUCAUGAAGUUGUUCACAUACAGUCUACUGUAUGUGAACUGUUGAGCAGAGAGGAUGAGACUCAUGGAGUAAAUAUAGCACAAGUUCUGGGGAGUUGUUCAAAAUUCAGCAUCCUUCAAGAAGCUACAGGUGAAGGGCAGAUAAAUGUACUCUGCUAAGUUUAUAUUGCUAAUAGAAAGAAGGCAAAGCAUAAGCCGCUAGUUUGAAAGUCAAAUGGUAUAGUUAAUUUACAAUCAUAAUGCUGUUAAGUAGCCCACUCUGGGGCAGGCCGGUUUAAUCCACACCAUUUGCCCUCUGACUGAGUCUAUUUGGUGACUUUGUGACCCUAAACCUAGAUUGUUGUUUUGUGUGGCUUUUCAUUUCAGACAGCACCACAUAAUUUCAGGGUUAUACUACAGCCCUCCAGAGUGCUAUUUUUAUAACAUAAAACUGGGUGUACGUAUGGCAUCAAAAAAAUGUGCUGCAUAAGGGCCUAUAACUUCCUUGUUAUGUGAAUUAAUUUACAGUGUUUCUAAUUGUUAGAGGUGAACAAAACAACUUUUACUCACUGUUUUUUACAGACACAUGUGAACUGAUUGAGCUAACAUGAAGUAAUGGAUACCUUACCCCUUACUGUACAUUAAUGUAUCGAUAUUGUCAAGUAAAUUGCUGUUAGGCAACAUUUUAGGGAUUUAGAAUAUGUACAGUAAAUGAGUAAUAAUAUUGCUGAUAAGCAUAUUUCAUCAAAAUUAUACUCAGCCUUUACUUAGGAAUAAGUUGAACUUUAAUAAUUGUUUCAUGGAUUUUGGACAAUGAUUUUAGAAAAUAAAUAAACAGAUUCAGU